GAUGGGGUGGCCGAGUGGUCUAAGGCGACACGUUAAGGCCGUGUUCUAGUAAUAGGCGCGAGUUCGAAUCUCGCCCUCAUCA
Molecule: non-coding RNA, 82 nt
Organism: Amphiamblys sp. WSBS2006
Lineage: Eukaryota; Fungi; Microsporidia; Amphiacanthidae
Source: Rfam